This 73-nucleotide transfer RNA is filed under the name Xenophallus umbratilis. Its description in RNAcentral is "tRNA-Trp". It matches the Rfam family "tRNA". From Rfam's summary of the family: Transfer RNA (tRNA) molecules are approximately 80 nucleotides in length. Their secondary structure includes four short double-helical elements and three loops (D, anti-codon, and T loops). The record is from RNAcentral. Lineage: Eukaryota; Metazoa; Chordata; Actinopteri; Cyprinodontiformes; Poeciliidae.
AGGGGCUUAGGCUAACACCUCAGACCAAGGGCCUUCAAAGCCCUAAGCGGGGGUGAAAACCCCCCAGCCCCUG